AAUCUUGCGCAAUGGGCGAAAGCCUGACGCAGCGACGCCGCGUGAGGGACGAAGGCCUUCGGGUCGUAAACCUCUGUCCUUGGGGACGAUGAUGACGGUACCCAAGGAGGAAGCCCCGGCUAACUACGUGCCAGCAGCCGCGGUAAUACGUAGGGGGCGAGCGUUGUCCGGAAUUAUUGGGCGUAAAGGGUGCGUAGGCGGCAUGGCAAGUCCUGUGUGAAAGGUCGCGGCUUAACCGCGGUAGGUCAUGGGAAACUGCUGUGCUUGAGUGCCGGAGAGGAUAGCGGAAUUCCACGUGUAGCGGUGAAAUGCGUAGAUAUGUGGAGGAACACCAGUGGCGAAGGCGGCUAUCUGGACGGUAACUGACGCUGAGGCACGACAGCUGGGGGAGCAAACA
Molecule: ribosomal RNA, 397 nt
Filed under: uncultured bacterium
Lineage: Bacteria
Description: partial 16S ribosomal RNA
Rfam family: Bacterial small subunit ribosomal RNA
Source: RNAcentral